AAAAUGCAUUGAACUGGUACAGCAAGAAUAAUGGGAGGAGAAGCUUUCCUUACAUUCCCUGUUCCUUACUAAUUUGCCUCAAACCUUAGCAGGAGGUGACCUCUCAUAGGAAUGAUCAAGGAGAUAAGUGUCAAGGUGCCAGCUGAAGUGGCACUUUUUGUGAUAGACACUUGUAAGAAGAUUGAGCCCUUCAUCUCAGUUCACACGGGGCAAAAAAACUGCAGGCAGCCUGUUAUCUCUGCCAGCCCAAGAUGGAUCCAGACCAGUGGUCUAGAGGCAAAAGGUUCUAUAUCCCAUUACCAACCUCCCCACAUCAUUCAGGCCCCUGACUGUAAGAAUUCUGAGUAAUUCAUGUCCCUUAUUAGAAUCUCAGGCAAGAAAACGAGAGAAUUUUGAGAUGCCUGUGACACCGGAGUUCUGCUGCACAGCAAAUAUAGUCACAGGGCUUCAUCAUAUAGAACACUCUUGGAGCGAGAGCAUUCAGAUUCUUCCAGUGGCCGGGUGAGGAAGUUGCCUCUCAGCAAGGACAAAAGGGAAAUGAGGGAAAUUUUACAAGAAAAUUUUCAUUUUAGUUAAAAAGCCAUUUUCCACCAAAACAUUUUUCAGUGAAAAAAUUUGAACUGACUAAAAUACCCUGACCUCAGUCCUGAGGAACAGCCUAAAGCUGGAAACGGGGGAAGAAAUGGAGUAAGACAAGAAAUGAGGGUGAAAAAAUCAGAAGAGGACAGAGAAUUGGAGAGGAAAAGAAGCCGAAAAAAGGAAGCAAAACUAGAAGAUAGUCAAGAAGAGGGAGAAUUAGGCCAGGACGGGAAGAGGGAAAGCAAUCCAUGCAACAUAAAGAGCAGAAUGAAAUAAAACACAAGGAAGAGAGCAAGGAGCCAGAGAGACGUGAAUCAUGCGGGUAGCUGUAAUAGAUGCACAUAAAGAAAGAAUUGUAACAGAAAGUGAACCAAGAAGAGAGGAAUGAGAGCAAAUAAAAGCCAGACACCCAGCUGUGAAAUCUGUUUGUUUUACUUAUUAUUAGUAAAAGGCAAAAGCCUAUAAAUGAUCUGAAAUAAAUUCACUCAGUGGCCAGUAAAAUGCCAGUGUUAUGCCAUGCUGUCCAUGACGGUAGUUGUAGUCUUUCUAGUUCUGCAAGUGGAAAAACCCUCUUGGGCAACAAUUUCAGAAGUGGCCUCUGAGUUGGGGUAUUUUUUUCCCACAGAGGUGCUAAGCAGCAGUGGCUUCAUUUACUUUGAUUGGACCUGUGGGUGCUCUGCACCUCCGGGAAAUCAGGCCCAAGCUGGACUAGUGAAAUCAGUGGCUGUUGUUAAAAAUAUCAGGGCUUGUCUACACGAAGACUUAACAUGUGGCAGGUGCAGCUUCCUAGCUUGUCAAGCACCCAGGGUCGGCUCUAGGAAUUCGGCCGCCGCAAGCAGCCAAAC
Non-coding RNA from Chrysemys picta bellii (western painted turtle), 1424 nucleotides. The record is from RefSeq and is a predicted model, not a curated record. Lineage: Eukaryota; Metazoa; Chordata; Testudines; Emydidae.